RNAcentral lists this long non-coding RNA (489 nucleotides) under Heterocephalus glaber (naked mole-rat). RNAcentral describes it as "lncRNA (ENSHGLG00100045714.1)". Lineage: Eukaryota; Metazoa; Chordata; Mammalia; Rodentia; Bathyergidae. The record is from RNAcentral.
GGGACAGGAGAGGUGACAGCACUGAUGGCACCAGGACUGAGCCACAGGGCAGGCUUCAGCCUGUCUGUAGGUGGAACUCAGCGAGGGCUGGCAGAGCACAGACUGCAUCCAGACACCGCGGCCCCAGCCAGACUCCGUGCUGUCAGACAAACAUGCAAGUGAAUCACCACCUGCCCGGUUUCCGCUGCAGACGCGGAGGCGAGAACCCAGGACACCUGCAUGAUAAUUGAGGCCUCCACCCAAACAAAGAAGACAUGAAAGGUGACCAAGAUGCUGUUGGGAGACAUCAUCCCAAGAUUUUGGGUACUCCUGUCCUUAGGGUCACACAAUGGACCAACAUUCAUAGCCAAGAAAGUCCAGGAGUUCACACUGAUGUUAAAGAAAUGAGAUCAAGUCCUGCCCAUGGUCCUCCUCUGAGUCCAGUACACCCCCACCAAACAAACUGGGCAUUCCCCUUAUGAGAUUCUAUAUGACCAGCCACCCCCCAAU